Molecule: transfer RNA, 77 nt
Filed under: Caudoviricetes sp.
Lineage: Duplodnaviria; Heunggongvirae; Uroviricota; Caudoviricetes
Description: tRNA-Met
Rfam family: tRNA
About the family: Transfer RNA (tRNA) molecules are approximately 80 nucleotides in length. Their secondary structure includes four short double-helical elements and three loops (D, anti-codon, and T loops).
Source: RNAcentral
GCUCCUUUAGCUCAGCUGGUUAGAGCAGUCGGCUCAUAACCGAACGGUCCCGGGUUCGAAUCCCCGAGGGAGCACCA